UUUCGGCCAAAUCCAAAGGGUGAUUUUUUGGGUUCAUGUUUGUCUUGUUAAAAGUGUUUUAAGGUGACUUUUGUAACCCCUAAGUACCCUAGGAUGUUAACAUCAUUUUGAAUGGUGAAAAUUUGAGUUUUAUGGCUUGAAAACAUUCAUGGAGCUCUNCAUGCUAGGGAACCUCACAUCUCACCCUUCCUCAGAAGCCUUUGCAUGUCCCUUGGCGUGGGUGUCCGGAGGUACUCAUUGGUGUAGAGGGGCUUCAAUUGCAGAGCAAAACCGCAUCAGGGACUCCAAAACAGUUGUUUUUCCCAUCAUCGCGAUCUCAUCCACUUGAUCUGCAGAUGCUUCAUAUGCAAGCAUUCGCAAAGAUGCCGUAAUUUUUUGCUCGGGAAUAAGACCUAGAACAUGAAAAGCAUCCUCUUUUUGCACAAAGUAUGAAUCAUGGUUGCAAAUAUCACUCAUGAUUUUGUUGAACAAAUUUCGUUGCAUUCUAAAACGCCGUCUAAAAAUAUGAUCAGGGAAUAUGCUAUUAGGAAUAAAAUAAUCUUCCAAUAGAUUUUUACCUCGUUUUUCCCUUUUUCUAUCGAGGUUUGCAACACGUCUUGGUUUGGCUAUCUGACCCACGGCUUCCAUGACACGGCGGGAAUGUGAGGCCUUCUGCCUUUUAUGGUGAUCAUCAUCAUCCUCCUCCAUGAAGAAAGCCUCAUCUCCACCUCCACCUCCACCUUCCUCGAGAUUGGCCAAUUCUGCCUGUUGUGCCAACAACCUUUGUUGUUGCUCUUGCAACUGUUUAUACACCCUUCUUGAAGAAGACAUUGUAAUAAGAACUCAAGAUUUGAAAACGAUGAACAAGGAUUCUGAGCUAAAAAGAAGGAUUGAGCUUGGUGUGAGGAUAUAUGUAGGGAUGUAGGGUUUAUAUGGACAAAAAAAGAAAGGAUGAGGUUCUGGACAAUGUCACAUGGCACUACGUGAUUGGUUGAAAAUCUUAUCGAAAUCUUGGCUAAAUUAUUGUAAACCGGAAGUGACAUGUGGCGUGUCGGGAUUGGUAAAAAAUAUUAUCGGAAAUAUAUCCACAAAAUAGUACGUUCAGAUAAUGACACGUGGCAUGACGUGAUUGGUUGAAAAUCUUAUCGAAAUCUUGGCUAAAUUAUUGUAAAACAGAAGUGACACGUGGCGUGUCGGGAUUGGUAAAAAAUCUUAGCGGAAAUCUAUUCACAAAAUAGUACGUUCAGAUAAUGACAUGUGGCGUGACGAGAUUGGUUAAAAAUCCUAUCCGAAAUUAAAACUAUUUUAUUUUUUAUUUCUUUUAGACAAAAUUUAAAAAUAUUUUUUAAAUGGGCUGGGUGCCAGCGCAUUUUGUAGGGAUGGAGAUCGUUUGUGCCAGCGCAUUUUUUCACUAGGUGCCAGCUCAUUUUUUUAGGGGUGAAGAUGCCUUGGCCUAUUACUGUUCAUUGGAGUAUGUUACUGUUCAUUUGAGUGGAUAAAUGCGCUGGGUGCUGGCGCAAAGUCCUUAGGGGUGGAAUUGCUCUAAAUGAGUGGGAGAGUCGAUAAGAGGUCAGAGAGUGCGUCCCCAAACCCCACCACCAGAAAAAUUAAAAUCCUCUCCAUCUUUUUAACUAAUUGGUCCCUUAACCCAAUAUCUAAUUGGCUUCUUACCCACAAAGUGGGAGUUAACUUCAAACGUCCGUAACUAUACCGUUAUAAUUCGGACUCGCAAACGGCUUUCGUCUAUACAUUCGUGGUUUCGAAAUCUAUCCAAAAAUAUAAAUUGUGACCUCAAAAGGUCAAUGAGUUUUAGAUAAUUACUUUCCAAACUUCUAACUUCGUAACUAAUUUAAUUAAAAUCUAAAUCCAAAUAACUUAAUAUAAAUUCUCGAAAAAUAAUAUAAAAUCUCAAUAAUACAAAUACGUAGAUUAUAACAGUGAAAUCUGGAAACGGGAUUUCACAACAUCAUUCAAAAAUAAAUCCGACCCUCUGUACGCCUAAUACUCCAAAAUUAUUCGGCACCAUGCCGCUAUUACCGCCAACCAGGUGAUCAAAAGUACGCCCAAUACUCCAAAAUUAUUCGGCAGCCUGCUGCUAUUAUCACCAACCAGGAGAUCAAAAGUACGCCCAGUACUCCAAAAUUAUUCGGCAGCUUGCCGCUAUUAUCACCAACCAGGUGAUCAAAAGUACGUCCAGUACUCCAAAAUUAUACAUGAGCAUCACUCAUGUCAAUCAUACAUAAACAUUCAUGAGCAUCACUCAUGUCAAUCAUACAUAAACAUUCAUGAUUAUCAUUCAUGUCAAUAUUCAUAAACAUCAUUCAUGUCAACAUUCAUGAGCAUCACUCAUGUCAACAUUCAUGAGCAUCACUCAUGUCAACAUCCAUGAGCAUCACUUAUGUCAAUCAACAUAAACAUUCAUGAGCAUCACUCAUGUCAAUCAGCUUCGAAAACUUCAUUUACAGAGCUCCAAUUUCGAGAGCUCCAGCUUCAAAAGCUUCAUUUACAAAAGCUCCAGCUUUAAAGCUUUACUUGUAAAGCUUUAAAGCUUUACUUGUAAAGCUUUAAAGCUUUAAAGCUUCACCUACAAAGCUUCAGUGCAGGGUAUACAAAUACCGCUUCUGAACAACCGCCACUUCGGCUAUACAUGGAUUCAAUUUGAAGUCUCCAGCCAACAGACUCUAUUGACUGAAGACUUGGGGGACUACACUAUGUACCAUAUAUUGGGCCUCAUGAAAAAUACUUAGGGGACUUAGCCCAUUAUUUAUGUACUGAGGAGCGAACCCUUAUUCUAUAAAAAUGACUCCCUCACUUUCAUUAGAGAGUACCCAUUAUUUCAUGUACUGAGGAGCGAGCCUUUAUUUUAUAAAAGGGACUCGCCGCCUCACCAUCAUUAGAGAGCAUCACCGCCUGCCGAGCAACCGUCUCGCCGCGCGAACAUCAACUCUAGCCCAUCACUUAUGUAUUGAGGAGCGAGCCCUCAUUUUAUAAAAAAGAACUCCCUUACCAUCAUUAGAGAGUAUCGCCGCCUGCUGAGUAAACGUAUCGCCGCGAGCAUCAACUCUAGCCCAUCACUUAUGUAUUGAGGAGCGAGCCCUUAUUCUAUAAAAGGGACUCCCUCACUCUCUUCAUUAGGGGAGGCCAAUUCUUAGGCCAUGGGGAAAAGCUCUCUCACCCUCUCAUCCUCUCACAAAUAGAGAAAUACAAUAUCAGUGUGGACGUAGCCCAAACAUUGGGGUGAACCACGAUACAUCUUGUGUUAUUUACAUUUCUUGCAAAUUCACGACGGUCGGACUUACGUUGUUCCAAGAUGUUGGAAAUGUGCCCUAAAGCCAAUCAUGUGAUGAUACUUUACGGACAUUUCACAUGUUAAACUAAUAAUCUAGUUUUACAUAUAAAGGGCAAAGAUUAUUGUUUGAGCCGUCUCAUAUAAAUGUUAUAUGCUUAAACGAUAAAGUCCAAGGAAUAUGUGAUUGGGAGAAUGUAAUCUAAUGAAGUUAGAUUCAUGAGACCAUUCUUUCGUAGACACAUCCUAAAUGUUCCUGAUCAUAGGAUUGUCAAUUGGGCAUUGACAGUCCGUUAAGAUCGGUACGUACUAUGUCUUCUCUCAGGGAGAGUGAUUAGUCUCGAGUCAUUGGUGUGUGUGACAUCAAGACAAGUACGUAGGUGCUCAAUAGAGAAUGAGUACACUGAACGUGAUCAACCAAGAGUUCUCAUAUUCCAUGUCACAUAAGAACUCAUGGUUGGGAUAAUGCAAAGUAGUCCUUUGACCUGAGGCAUCACAGUUGUCUUGUGGUUAAGUCCUUGAUCUUUGAUUAUGUCAAAAGUCACCCCCUCGGGGCGUCCACGGCAUCGUUGGGGUCAAGUGACUUAGCUAUGGAGACAAGUGAAUGCGCAACAAGGGAUCUCUAACCUUCAAACAGUUGAGGGAGAAUACUCUAUGAUAUGAUUUAGAAUCUCUGGCCAGAGUAUGAAUGAGAUUAGGGAAUGCGUUCCAAAUCACAUUCAAGUAAAUCAUAUAAGCACAAGAUUCACAUUGGAUAGUAGACAUGAACAAAUAAACUAUCAAACCAAACAAUGUGGUCAAGAGUAUUAGAUUAGAGAAAGACCGUAUUGCAUUUGUAAUCCCGAACUGAAUAGGUUCUCUAACCUCUUCUGAUUAGCUUGGGUAACCAUGACAUGCUGCUAGGCGUCAACCAUGGUUUGUGGAAGCCCUAAACGUGUGUAAUCACUAAAGGGAGAAUUGAAAAUAGUUUCAAUUCACAAUCGAUGUAAAAUGGUUUUAAUCGCCCACUACCUUGCUAAAAGGAACCUAAUGGAUCGGACACCAUAAAAGGUAGAGAUUGGAGAUUAAACGGAAAUGAGUAAGAAUGAUUAAAUGGUUUAAUCAUUUAUUUAUGGCAAAGAUUAAUUAAUAUGUUAAUUAAUCAAACGAAUAAGUUCGUUAAAGACCUCGGGGAUAGUUUUGGACCUUAAGGCCCAAUGAGCUUCGAACGUCAAGCCCAUUAACUUAAGUUGUAUGACAAUUUAAUGAAUAAAGAUUCAUUAAAGCCCAAAAGCCCAAAAUUCCUUAGGUGGCCGGCCAUAUGGUGAUGAAUUAGGGUUUUGGUUAUUUAGGUCACUUAAAGAAGUGACUAUAUAAAUGACUUUAUAGCCAAAUAUUCAUUAAGGAUUAAAAGGGUUUAUUUUUGGGGAAAAUUGGUGAGAAUUGUCUCUCCAUUUUCUCUCUAAAGAGGCCAACACCUUGGAGGGUACAUCUAGCAAUCCUACUACUCCAAAGUCACUCAUUUCUUCUACAAUCUAACUUUGGUGAAGAGACUUAGAGGUUCUCAAUUUUGGGAACUUGGAGAACCUAUUCUUCCAUCCAAAUCUAUGGAUCUAAGAAGCAAGGAAUGAAGGCCCUAUCUCUUUGGGUGAUUAGCCUUUGCUUAUGCAAAGAGGAAUCUACAAAGGUAUUAAUUUCAACUCACUUUGUUUUGAGUUGAUUAAUUGGUUCACCAAUCUACUAGGCUUUGAAUUUCAUGGUAAUGUUUUGUUUUUGAGUGCAUGCAUACAAGCAUGAUUCCGCCUUUAAUUGUUAAUUGCAUGCUAUAUGAUGUUGCUCAAAUGAACAUGUUUUUCAAAAUAAUUCCUUCAAGUGGUAUCAAGAGCCUAGGUCUAGUAGUUGGUGAAUCCUUUUGGGUUUUGUAGUUCAUAAGUUUAUGAUUUAAAAGUUGUAAUUGUUACAAGCUUUAUUCUUGCUUCUUUGAAUGUAAAUUUUGUUUGAAAAUUUGCCAUCUCAAAUGUUGUAGAUGUAGUUCAUAUGAGGAUGAAUAUUGGAGCUAAAAUUUGGUGCCAUGAUUUUGGGGAUUUUCGGCCAAAUCCAAAGGGUGAUUUUUUGGGUUCAUGUUUGUCUUGUUAAAAGUGUUUUAAGGUGACUUUUGUAACCCCUAAGUACCCUAGGAUGUUAACAUCAUUUUGAAUGGUGAAAAUUUGAGUUUUAUGGCUUGAAAACAUUCAUGGAGCUCUUAUGGGUUUUCAUGGAUGUUCUUCAUUGUUCUUGAUGUUCUUGCCAAGAACUAAAAGGUUUUGUGUUUGAUUCAAAGUUUUGAUUAUUUCAUAAAGUUUAUGUUAUAUGUUUUUCAAAUGAUUUAUCAUAUAUUUAAAAUAUUAGAUAUUUGAUUAAAUAGCAAAAGAAAUAUAUAUCAUCAUUAUGAAAGGUAAAAGAAAAGGUGAUAAGAAUUUCUUUUCUUAUGCACCACUUGAAUGUUUUUGACAAAACUAAUAAAUCAAAACACACACCACACCUUUUAUCCCUAAAUGGCCGGCCACCCUAUUAAAAUAGGGUAUUUUUGGGGCUUUUAUGCAAUUACAUAAAGUUUUGAUACUUUUGUGUAUUUGUACUUUGACCCGAAAGUUUACGUUUUGACGUUAAGGCCUAAAAACGCUAAAGGACAAAUUGUUUUGCUCCUUUAAUGAAGUUUUGAGUUUAUUUAAAUUUUGGGUUCUAGUUGUAUUUACAUGAAGUAGUGACUUUUGUGUUUUUACAAAGUGACCCCAAA
This 6020-nucleotide long non-coding RNA is filed under the name Malus domestica (apple). RNAcentral describes it as "long non-coding RNA (MDOM_LNC000996)". Lineage: Eukaryota; Viridiplantae; Streptophyta; Magnoliopsida; Rosales; Rosaceae. The record is from RNAcentral.